Molecule: long non-coding RNA, 7599 nt
Filed under: Nicotiana tabacum (common tobacco)
Lineage: Eukaryota; Viridiplantae; Streptophyta; Magnoliopsida; Solanales; Solanaceae
Description: long non-coding RNA (NTAB_LNC019220)
Source: RNAcentral
ACUGGAAAUAUUUCAUUAAUAACUCCCAUUUCAUUUCCAUUAGUAGCUUCAUUCAUAAUAUCCAAAAUAUUACAAGUUUAUAGAUAUAAUGAAAAACAUGUUUGCCAAAUAGCAACAUUUCUAGUUCAAUUCCCAACAUCAUAUACCACCCACAACCUGUCCACGGAGCCUCUAAUUAAGACAAAAGAAUAGUAUGGAAGUGUCAGCAACAAGGCCCCGGCUAUACCUCAAGACACAAAGUGUAACAUCAAGUGACAUCGAGCCAGGAAUAGAGUAGGGCUCACCAAAACCUGCCGAAUAGGGAGUAACUGCUAACGAGGACCAAAGCUGCCCGCUGCUGAAUCACCUGCAUCCAUUGAAGAUGCAGCGCCCCCCGCAGAAGGGACGUUAGUACAUAUGGAAUAGUACUGGCAUGUAAAGCUAACUAUCUUCUUUCAAAAAAGAAUGCCAAUGUAUGAAAGGGAAACCCAUAGAAACAACAAUCAACAAUCACUGAUAUUCAAAUGUCAAGUUAAAAUAUAAUAAUUUCCAAAAUACGAAGAUAACACUGUAAAGUGAUAAUCAAAAUAUGAUGAUAAUAUUAUUUUUGGUUUGGAGAUCUUUAUCACAAAUAUACCACUAUUCACAAUAUCACCAUUCACAAUACCAAUAUUCACAAUACCAAUAUUCACAAUACCAAUAUUCACCAUUCCAAUGCCAUCGUACUUUUAGCACGGAGUCCGAUCACGACCCGAUCAGCUAGGCCAUCUCAUUAGAGACAUCAACCACAAUCACUCUCAAUACCAAUACUACCGUACUUUUAGAACGGAGUCCGAUCACGACCUGAUCAGCUAGGCCAUCUCAUUAGAGACAUCAACCACAAUCAAAAUUUUAAAUUACAAUUUUCGGCACUAUCACAAUCUAUGUGCAAAUAUACCACCGUGAAUCUAGCACGGAUUCCGAUCACGACCCGAUCGGCUAGGCUAUCUUAUUUGAAGAAAUCAACCAAAAUCACAAUUUCAAUCAUAAUUUUCAGCACAAUUACCACCAUGUGUGCGACAUGGUGCCGAUCACAACCCGAUCGGCUAGGAUGUCUCACCACAAUGCCGUGUGGAUCGACAGCACCCUUUUCUAUCAAUCAAUCUCAUCCAAAUUAAGGGGAAUAAUUUUAUCACAUCAACAUCAUCCCAAAUAAGGGGAAUAAUUCACAAAAAUAACACAGGCACAAAUGUAUUUACCUUAUCAUCUUUCACAUUGUAUGAAUCUCCACUAGUAUUUUCAACCAUAACAACAACAAUAUUUCCUUGGCUCUUUUGGCCGUUCACAAUAUUCUUUAUUCAAGGCACGGUGGCCGUAUUGUAUAUUCCACGCUUUCAUUUAUUCCCUCUCAUGUAUCAUCAUCAUAAAUAUCAACAUAUAUACUAUUCCGGAAAUCAUAACUUUAAGUUCAUUAGAAAUGAAGGCUUUAAACACAAUGUAUUUCUUUCCAAGAAAUGGUGUAAAAUUAUUGGCAAUUGAAGCGCAAGUUAAAAUCAUAAACAAGUAAAACAUAAUUUAUUCUUGAAAAACUUUUCCCCAAAAAAGGCAAUACACAAUUUCAACUCACGAAUAUAUAAGAACGCAAAACACAUUGAAAAUACUCACAAAGCACAACAUUAGCUAAAACAGCCACACAUGGGCAUCACUUGAGUUCAUAAGCUUUUAGGCAAAUUCUAUUUUCAAAGUCAAUUUUAGAAUAGUUAAAUCAAGGAUCAUUUCAUAACCUUUCUCACAUCAUUUAAUUUCAUUGGCACCAUUGGCCACAAGUAUAAUUUUCACUGUUGGCGCGUUGGCCACACUUUAUAUCCCCAAGUCACUUAUUUCACUUACAAUCAUCUUUAUAGAUUAUUAACCAUAAGACAUUUCCGAUCAAGACUUUAGGUACACAUAUGAGCAAUUAAGAGUCUUAAGCAUAUUGAGACUUUCUCACACAAUUUGGCAUCAUAACCUUCAUUUGAAACACGACUCAAAGACAUAUCAUUUCAAUACACAUAUCAUUCUUAAACACAUUCCUAAAAGAUAACAUAAUGUGAUAGGAACAUUCGGAACAUGUUUUGAAAACAUAAUUCUCGGCAUUUUGCUUAUUCGGAAUUCAUAUUGAACAUAUAUCUUUCAACACUAACUUAUUUGUAAUAGCCAAUUUUUUAUAAUGAACAACUCGGGACUUACAUAAAUUUUAUGAACACUGUGGGAUUCAAUUCUAAGAGAGAAGUUUAGCCAAGAUACCUUUUCUUGAGCUUUCCUUACAUUACUACGACGUUCUGGAAAUUCUAGCAACUUCAAUCUAUUUGGAAACAUAAUAAAAGUAAACCAUAAUUAGGAAGAUAUUCGUGGUUUCAUCUCAUUUGAGCAUUUUAUCAAACACUAGAUGUGCAAAUUGGUUACAAGUUUCUUCCACAAGAUUUCUUUCACUUAACAACCCAAUCCUUACCCAUUUAGGCUCAACAAUCUUCCCAGAAACCUUAUUGGUACAUGCAUGUAUAAAUAAUACUCUUACACCCAAGAAUCAUACUCUUAAUCAACCAUCUUCUACCAAAAUUCAAAAUUGAAAACUAGGGUAUGGAACCUUACCCCUUAGAUGAAGAACUUGAGAGAUUUCUUGUUGGAUUUCAAGGCUUGAGCAAGAUUUGAUGAACAAGGGCUUGGGAAUUCCUCCUCUCACUCUAGGGGACUUUCCCCUCACUAAAAAUAUCAGAUUAUCCCUCCAAAAUAGCGCUAAGAUCGUUUUAUAGGAACUAGGGUCGGGAUAUUAAAUUACAAAAAUGGACCCUCAAAAAUCUGGAUCGGGCUACAGACCAGGUUUGGCACGGUCUAUAGCGAGCUACAGACCAGGCUCCGGGAGCUCUGCCGCGAGCUACAGACACAUGCUUCGCGAAGGAUAUAUCACGGUCUAGCGCGCUACAGACCUGGCUUCGCGAGGGUUAUAGCAUGGUCUAGCACGCUACAGACCUGGAUUCGCGAGGGUUAUAGCACCGUCACAUUCUUCCAGCCUUUCGGAAUUUGAAUAGAAGUUCUUGUAGGAGCGUCCAAAUGACAAACGUUUUGAAGCGUUAGAAACUAGACUCAAAGGGCUGUAAUUUGAUAGGUAUAUCACCUCCUAAGUCGUUAUAGUUUGGUAGCAGCAUGCGUUUGAAGUAGUAUCUUGUACGAAUUGAGACAUCCUUUCCACUUAAGGUAUCCAACUUGUUCCACAUGAAUUCUUGCCAUUCACAAAAUUCCGUAGUAUGUUUCAACACACCUUAAACAUAUAUUUUUCAUUUCAAAAUAAUGUGGUUAUAUCCCAUGGGUCUCCUUUAAUACUCGAACACGUUAUUCCCAAAUACCGUUGGCGCACUUUAAAAUCUUAAAUCAUUAGGAAAUUUUUAACGGGGCCUUAUAGUAAGGCAGAUUUCACAGCUGUAAUCCUAGCUUGAAAAUAAGGAUCAUUAGCAGCCAGCUUUUCCCCCCUCAGAAAACUGAGAAUUUUGUUGCACUGAUGUAGAUUUAGAACCUGCAAAUUCAGCACUUGGUUGUUCAUGCAUAAUUCCUCGAUCAUUACCAAUUUGAAUACCAGAUUCCCCAGCGAUCUGUUGUACCACAUAACGCUUGGUUGAUGUAACAGCUUGAUCAGCAGCAGUUGUUAAAGCACCAGCAGUAGCUUUAUACAUCCUCGCAAAAACAGUGGAGGCUGGGAUAUCCUUCAAUCACUUAUCAUCUCUAAUUGCAUUUUUCUUGACUUGCUCAACACCUACACCCCUAUACUGUCUCCCGGCAUCACCUAGAACUUGAGCAACCUUCAAACUCCUCUACACAUCUUUUUCUCCAGUUUUUUGGAUCUGCAUAUCCACACCACAGUCAUCAGUUGCUUCUUUGUAUUCUACCAAAGUCCCAUCAUUUGUAUGACCCUCAUGAGGCAUGUUUAAGGCCUAAAGCCGCAUAACACCGUCAUCCCCAAUCACAACUUCCUUGGAACUACCCCGCUACACCGUGUCUCUUAACACCAACAAGUGAGGAUCAUCAAACUAGUAAGCCUUGAUACGAUCCAACAAUGAUGAGUGUGCCACAACACAAGUGAUGACCCGACUAGGCUGCGAAACAUCCAAUCUCAAAUACAAGAACAUCAUGUGAUUCAAUUCUAGGAGAGAAGUUUAGCCAACAUACCUUGCUUUGAGCUUUCCUUAAAUUACUACAGUGUUCUAAAAAUCCUAGCAAUCCCAAUCUAUUUUGAGAAAUAACAAAAUUGAACACAAAUUAGGAAAAUAUAAAUGGUUUCAGCUCAUUUGAGCAUUUUAUCAAAAACUAGGUGUGCAAAUUUGACUACAAGGUUCUUCUACAAGAUUUCCUUCAUUCCACAAUCCAGUAUUUACUUAUUUGAGCUCAAAAAUCUUCUGACAAACCUUGUUGGUACAAGCAUGUAUAAAUAAAAAUCUUACACCCAAGAAUCAUACUCUCAAUCAACCAUCUUCUACCCAAAUUAAAAAUUGAAAACUAGAGUAUGGAACCUUACCUCUUAGAUGAAGAACUUGUGAGGUUUCUUGUUGAUUUUCAAGGCUUGAGCAAGAUUUUGAUGAACAACUAGCUUAGGGAAUUCNNNNNNNNNNNNNNNNNNNNNNNNNNNNNNNNNNNNNNNNNNNNNNNNNNNNNNNNNNNNNNNNNNNNNNNNNNNNNNNNNNNNNNNNNNNNNNNNNNNNNNNNNNNNNNNNNNNNNNNNNNNNNNNNNNNNNNNNNNNNNNNNNNNNNNNNNNNNNNNNNNNNNNNNNNNNNNNNNNNNNNNNNNNNNNNNNNNNNNNNNNNNNNNNNNNNNNNNNNNNNNNNNNNNNNNNNNNNNNNNNNNNNNNNNNNNNNNNNNNNNNNNNNNNNNNNNNNNNNNNNNNNNNNNNNNNNNNNNNNNNNNNNNNNNNNNNNNNNNNNNNNNNNNNNNNNNNNNNNNNNNNNNNNNNNNNNNNNNNNNNNUCCUCUCCCUAAAAAUAUCAGAUAUUUCCUUAAAAAAAUGGUUCCUUAUGUCUAUUUAUCGAGAUAGGGUUUGGUUAUAAGGAUAGAAAAAUGGACCCUCCAAAAUACGAACCGGGAGACAGACCAGGCUUUGUAAGCUCUAUAGCACGGUCUAGCGUGCUACAGACCUUGCUCUGCGAGCUCUAUAGCAUGGUCUAGCGCGCUACAGACCUUGCGCCGUGAGCUCUAUAUCAUUUUCUAGCGUGCUACAGCCCUGGCUUCGCGGGGUGUAUAACACGGUCUAGCGUGCUAUAGACCUGGCUUUGCGAGGUCGAAAUGAUUCAACUCCCCAACAUACUGUUCAACCUAAACAGUCCGAAAAUACAAUAAAUUAGCCUACCUUGGCACCACGGAACCUUAAAUUCCUUAGCGAAAGUUUCUGAGGCCUUACAUUUUUCUUCUUUCGAAUGCGGAUCUCCCUGGAAAACUAAUCUUAACUAAUUUUUGUCCCAUUUCACGCCCGAAACCUAGGGAGAUGCGACUGGCACCUGGUGCCUAACAUGAUUGAACAUAUAACCUGUAAAUCACGUACCAUAUUGUUUCCAUAAAUAACUAGGCGGACAAGGUCGUAACAUAUGACAUCAACCCAUAACCAAUCCAUGGUAUGCAUAUAAGGGACGACAAGUCCACCAUGAGUAUCAUUACAUUGAUAUAUAAAAAACUUCAAAAAGCUCAUCUACACGGGCCUAUAAAUCCACCAUAUAAAAUAGUAUAACUGACCGCAUGUAUAUCUGUAUCUGCAAAAGCCUCUAAGAGUAUCAGACAAAAGUAACGUGGUUGGUACUGGGCCUCGGCCUACCCGUAAAGUCUUUAUACAUAAACAAAACAAAAUAUGUAUAGACUCGGAUGCACUCCAGUUGAUAUGGUGUCUUAAUGAUCAAUUGCUGAACUUUGAAAUUUGUUACUCCGAGGUUCAUCUAUCAUCUAAAACUGUAGCAUAAAAUACAGCAUCCCUAGCAAAGGGAUAUCAGUACAAAAGAAUGUACUAAAUAAAUAAGGAAACAUGAUACGCAAAUGUAAGUAGAACACACAAAUGAAGGAAUGUUGAAGGAAACAACUGAACUUACAUCUCAAGUUACAAGGCAACCUGCAAGGCAUAUACUAUAUUCUUACCAACCUGGAUAUGUCUCGACGUCCAUAAUCUCGUUAUGUUGGGCCCUUGGGAGUAAUACCCAAACCAACAAAUAAUCUAAAUCAAUAGUGUGCAUGUUGAUUAAUCACAUAACAACUAUUUUGCUAUUUCACAAUAGGAUAUCGUACAUAUUUGCUAGAUACUAGAUAAGUGAAUCUGUACUUUCUCGACUAUCAAGCCAAUAUCUCCCGGUCUAGCGAGUCGGUAACUACCAGGUUAUCAAACAUGUAUCUUCUAGUCUAGCACACAUGUAACUAUCAGGCAUUGGACAUGUUCGCAAUGUCUAUCAUAACAUACAACAAAUACAAAGCACAUAAAGUUCUCAUGUCAACUCUAGCGAACAUUCGUCGAGUUACGAAAGACUUUCUGAGUGUGUCGAUAUGACUUAUAUACACUUUUUAGGAUAAUAAAAAGGUUAAAAAUAAUCAUAAAAAACUCAUCUUAUCGAGGCAGUACCAAACAGAAUGUUCAUGGAAUCAUCGGACACGCGAAUAAAGCAUCUAUGAGGUUCUACUUCUUGGAAGCACACUUGGAAGGAAAGUUGUUUGGAAUUCAUGCUAAAGAAACAAAGGAAUAGACUUAACAUACCUCAUUCCUAAUAGUUGUAAUACUACGACGAUCAAGUCUCUCCUUUAAAAUUUUGAUGUAUAAUAUUCACAAUAAAAGAAACCUCAUGUUAGCAACCAAACACUAUUAAAGACAUUAAGACAAUUCGUCGAACAUUUGGUGGGCGUAUGGUUUUAAGGCCCUUUCAUAAUGGUGUUUCACCACACCCUUCGUUCUUUCUAACUUAAAAAAACACAAAAACCUCCUUAUGAGGUUACAAAAACAAUCCACAAACCACAACAUACAAAAUUUCCCCUUCCAUAUCACAUAUGAAUCACAAAGCUUGGACUCACGGCUUCCGAUCACCGUCCCGUGAGUUCUUAUCGAAAAACACCUUACAAUACUUAUUUGAAUCCAUAUAUAUAUGUUAGAAGAAUCUUAUUACCUCGGUUUCUUUUUCCCUGAUAAUUCAUCACUUGAACGUUUCUGAAAGAAAACCAAGAUGGACUGAGUGUAAGAUUCAUGUUCUUGAGGAAGCAUUUUACUAGUAAAAUAUUUGGAUCACUUACUUUGACCUUGGAGAGUGAGAGGAGGAGAGAAAAUGGAGAAAAUUAUUUACGAUGAGGUCUUCAACGAAAACCGAUAGUGAAAUCUUGAAGUUUUAGCUGGAAAACAACAAGCUUUGGCCGACUUAACAUUGGGUGCCACAUGUUCCACAAUAAUUGGGCGCUACGCACAUUUGUAGUAAAACGGGCAUCUCAUUUUACUCCAAUGUUUUAUCGAUGAAUUGUUUGCGGCAUUCGAAACUAAAAUCAAAGAAAUUCAAUUUUGUGUGUGGAUCACCCUGCAACUCAGAGUAUAUUGGGAGAAAAUCUCAUUGACAUCAGGCCCAAAUUUCAGUAAACUUAUGAACAUAACUUGCGAUAACUGUU